RNAcentral lists this ribosomal RNA (253 nucleotides) under uncultured bacterium. RNAcentral describes it as "partial 16S ribosomal RNA". It matches the Rfam family "Bacterial small subunit ribosomal RNA", at positions 524 to 776 of the family's 1533-position model. The record is from RNAcentral. RNAcentral also lists the same sequence under 1 other name.
UACGUAGGGCGCAAGCGUUAUCCGGAAUUAUUGGGCGUAAAGAGCUCGUAGGCGGUUUGUCGCGUCUGCCGUGAAAGUCCGGGGCUUAACUCCGGAUCUGCGGUGGGUACGGGCAGACUAGAGUGCAGUAGGGGAGACUGGAAUUCCUGGUGUAGCGGUGAAAUGCGCAGAUAUCAGGAGGAACACCGAUGGCGAAGGCAGGUCUCUGGGCUGUAACUGACGCUGAGGAGCGAAAGCAUGGGGAGCGAACAGG